This 5792-nucleotide long non-coding RNA is filed under the name Sus scrofa (pig). RNAcentral's name for it is "lncRNA (ENSSSCG00025038744.1)". Lineage: Eukaryota; Metazoa; Chordata; Mammalia; Artiodactyla; Suidae. The record is from RNAcentral.
ACACGGUGCGCAGCGCACGGCCGCUCGCCGGGGCUGCCUCCUCGCGGUCCAGAGAACUGAGCCCUGAGCGCAGCCCCGGCGCUUCCCCGCGGAGGCUGAGAAGAACUGCGCAGGAAGAGAGCCGCGGACCGAGGCAGAGUGGGCGGGCCCGGCCACCUGGAGUGACAGGUCUCUCCACCUACCAGAACCCCGGAGCGCCAUGCAAAUCCAGCAGCUUCGCUGAGGGCCCUGUGCAUCCCUGAGAACUGCCUAGGGGUGAGAAAACCAGCAAAGAGAAAAGUGCAAUCUUGCAGGAAAUCUGCGACCACAAGCAGAUCAGAGCUCAUGCAAAUGACGGAAAAUGCAACACGAAAUGGCUCAAGCCCCAAAGAAAUUAUGUAAGCGACGGUCCCGGGGAGUCACAAGCGUGGGGCCCUGCUGGAGUCGGAUGACCAAACAGCAGCCGGAAACUCCAGGCUUAUACCCUCAAAAGUGCAAGUUCAAUUCGGACUCCUAGGCCUGACUCUCAGGGUCAGGAACUGGACCACACGGCCCGUCCUGAGCAGACCACUGUGGCCAAAAGGAUGCUGUCUUCACGCGGAUCAAGCCCAGGAGCCGGAGGUGGAGUGGAAUGACGUCACACACACUGCGGUUCUGAGGGGCUGGUUUAUUGCAGCAGGAAAAGAGAACCGAUGCGCUUUACAAAUCUGAGGGCUGCGGGUGCCGCCCCCCAACCCCCUGCCCCCCACGACAUGCCUGUGUCACUUCCCACAGUGCCAUCUGGACACGGCCAAGAGAGAGUGUUUCAGAUUACCAAAAUAUUCCUGCCUAACAGCAGAGAGGAAAAACAAAACAAAACAACCUGUGCGUCUCCUAUGUUUCUCGCCGUUCCCGCACGACAGCGUGACGUCAGCCCUGAGGCUCCCUGGCGUCGCCCCGCCCGGCCGGCCGCUUGCAGGUCAGCAUCAGCAGCAGGAACAGAGGCAGGUGCCAGAGGCUGCAGAAGAACAGCUUCCGGGAGCUCUUCCGGUCCGCGUCCCUGUAGAACCGGAAGCCGAGGUAGGAAAUGUACAGGUUGAUGGGGAGGGCGAUGACCGGGAAGGUCCACGUGGUGACAUCCAGGGCAGGGGCCGCGGCGGAGAGUGCGAUCAAAGCCAGGCAGUGGCGCAGGGCGACACGGCGGCACAGCGCCGGGUGGGUGACCGACAUCAUGCAGUAGCCGCCCCGGGAGUAGUCUUCGCGGAGGCCCCAGCUCAGGGCGUUGAAAUGGGGAAACUGCCAGGAGUAGAGGAUUCCUCCCAGAAGAAUUGCUCCUGCAGAGGUUUGAGGGAGAGUGGGGAGCAAGACACGCUGUCAGCAGAGGUUGACAGAGCCAUCGUCCCGCUGACCGGCAGCUGCCGACCCGCGCGGGGCUCCCUUGGGCCCCCCGCGCAUCUGCGCUGCCCUCUGCUCCGAGAGGGAGGUGGAGAUGGGCAGGGAGCUGAACCUCUCCAGAUCCCCCGUCCUCACCGCGGGGGCUGGAGGCCUGGCACGAGGGCAUCCGGCUUCCUGCAGCGCGGAGCACCUGUGGCUCCUGCCCACGCCCCGCCCCCCGCGGUGCCAACUCCGCCACAACAAAGGUCGCAUUCACCGAGGGCACUGUCCCGUAGGGCUUCUGGCCUGGGCUUUGGCUCUGUUUCCACCAGCUGGGCUAGUGGGUGAGGGGCUUGGGUCUGAGGUGGAAGGACACUCCCCAGCAGGUGGCAGCUCCCUGCUUGACAGAACUGAAGCCACUGCAGAGCUCCCCAUGUCACCAGGGCCUCAAGGGACCGGCCCUCAUGUCAGGGAGAGCAGGGGACUCAACAUCUUAACUCGCUUAUUCCCAGUGGCGCAGGGUAGCAGGAGGGCUGUUGCCCCCCGUCCAUUUUAACCCCGUCUCUGCUGUGCACAUACCCCUGAGUUCAUGGACACACACUCUGAUUUCAGUAGUAAAAGCAGCAGCUGCUACUGGUUGAAUCUGGUGGCAAACAGAUGGUGACGACCACCUGCCAGGUAUGACCCUGGAUGUAGAGAAACAGUGGCCAACACGACACAGCCCUGCGCUCGGGCGCCCGAGAGGCAGGACACAGCGCUGCUGCUGCUGUUCAGAGAACCAAAAAUUGGGACUGACUGCUCUGCUUGGGGAAGGCUGCCCGCCCCAAAGGUGAGCUGGAGGCCAUGACCCAACUCUGCCGAUCCUGUGAAGAGCCCAAGAGCCGUUCAGCGUGUUUCUGGGACAGCGUGGAGGCUGUGGCAGGGCUGUGGCAAGGACAGGAUGGUGAGGUCAGACGGGGAAGGGCUUUCCCCCCAGUGCAGCCGUCUCCAGGGAGAGUGGGUCACGGGGGACACGGGACCACCAAGGGGGCAGGUGGUCGGAGGCUUGGGAGUGGCAGACCCUGAGGUCUUCUCCACAGAUGGGGGACACGGGGAGCACAGUUCCCAGUGGCCAUGGGAAGGUUCUAUUUGGGGCUGUUUUCUCUGUCAGGCAUCCUGGUUAAGGCCUUGCAGCGUGCAUACCGGGAUGAUGAAUUAACUUGCCUGGGGCUACUCAGCUUCACUGGCACUGGGUACCAGCAUCAUCUAGAAGGCUAAUGCCACACAGUGAGCGAAAGGGGUAACGGGGCACUGCCGGGCGGGGACCUAAAGGCACUGGAGCGGAGCAGAGGAAGGCCUGCUGGAAGGAGAAACUGCAGUGACAUGUCCCGCUCACUAAGAUACGAGUGCUGGUACCUUAAAAAAAAAGGCUUGCUCAACUACAAACACGCAUGAUAUUUUUCUUGACAGCGAGCACCCCUGGGGAAUUAGUGGAGACAGAAGGGAGGCUUGGACCACCCAGGUACAACUGAACUGGAAAACGGGGACAGAAGGCAACUCCGUCCUAUUUUGACGGCACACAGAACCAUCUCUGGACGUUAUAGGGCCCCGCGCAGAGGAGGAGCUGGGACCGGGUCUCGGGGCAUCAGGCAGGGAGCAGCCACCAGCUCCGUGCCGUCACAUCCAGGGGACUGGAGCAGAUGACGUCCUGCAGUUAUGACGGUCAAGCUGUAUCCCGCCAGGAGCAGCAUCGGCAGCGACUUGGAAAUGAGGAGCGGACAGGUGGUCCGGGCUCAGGAGUUGUCCUGCCACUGAAACGGCCGCGAAGGAGCCAGGCUUUUUGGAUACUGUUAAGAUGUCAGGCUCCAACGUGGGACCCUGCUGGUCUCUCUCCAAAGCCCUCUUUCUUGCUGUGCCAACUGGAGUAUUCUGUUUCGCUCAACACACAUGUUCAGUUAGGCUUCUCCUUAAACUAACAUAAUUAAAAAAUUCAUUUUCAUAGAGUAGCGCACUGCUUAGUCGGUGAGAGGAAACUGGGCAGGGGUUUGGCUCCUGCUGCAAAUGAAAAGCGCUUUAGAAAUCACAGCUCAGCCUUAAUGGACUGUAAUCAGAAAACCUCUGCCCCCACACAGGUCUACUCCACGGGCUGCCACCGGCUCUGCUCCUAUAGAAGAUGGGAAACAAAUUACUGUCUCCAUCAAGAUAAGGGGGACGAGAACAGGAAGGCUGGGAUGUGGCCGGGGGCUGCCGGGGCACCCACCUUCCUUGUAGGGAAAACAAAGCCCUUCGUUUCCUGACUCGGAGGCCCCCACCUCAGCCUCGCCCCCAGACGGGUCUGUUUUCACGGAGCCGAUGUUCUGUGACAACAGGUAUUUACUGUGUGCCCACUGGGACGGGCACGGCCUGUUCUCCAGGCCCUCUGCUGGAGUCUGGCCAGGGACGGAGACAAUGCAAAGGGGGUCACAGCCCAGCAAUGUCACCUUCGGUGCAGGGCUUGUGGGGAGCACACAGGAGGAAGAGCUCAGCAGGCCCUGGAGAGAUCAGGGAGGGCUUCCUGGAAGAGGUGACCUGUGAACUCAGAUCUGAAGGUGGUCUCUGCAUUUCAAUCUGCUCACUCAAGCAUGCACUCCCUGCUUCUUUGUAAUGUGUUUUCUCAUUUUCCUACCUAACUCUCCAGAAUCUUCACACAUACGUGGUUAAAUCGUGUCCAGAAGAAAUGUCUGUUUUCUUCCUUGGAGUCAAAUGCUAGUUGGUCUGUGAGUAAGGAUAAGAGAUGUGGGGAUCUGUGAGACAGGCGGCCUAUCUGUGUGUGUGUGUGUGUCUCUCCAGAGGACAGCGGCUUCCUGAGGUCCUGAAACCACAAGCCUGGCUCGGAGGCUCCUGCAGAGACCCCCCGGGUGUCCACAGCCUGACUUCCCUCCGUCCACAGAAAACGGAGUUGAGCCCACGGAUUGUGCUGCGUGUGUGAGCAGCCGAGGAGCACGCCAAGCCCGUGGCCCCGCUCCAACUCGGGGCACAGGAGGCGAGGCGAGGCGAAGGGAGGGAAAAACUGUCAAAAUACCUCCCGACGCCUCUAGUCUGGGCUGUACCGAUGGGAGACCCUGCCUCUCGGCCCUCUGCCGGGCCCAAGCCCACCUCCAUCAUUCUGUCGGCAGCGCCACAGCAUCUUGGGCCAGAAACCCCCAAGCUGGAGCCCGGCCUCUGCACGUGCUCUUCCAAAAGCCAUCCUUGGAGCGGGGCUCGGUGGUGGCAGCCUGCUUCCUCUGCCGCCUGGAGGGUUCACGCUCAACCCUCCCUGCCCGACCCACCACUCCCUGCCAUUCACGCUCCACGCAGCUCUGGACAGCGGCUCCCUGUCCCCGUGGCCUCAGCAGCACGUCUGCUCCACGGCUGGUUUGUCUGAGCCUUGGGGGUCACGUGCUCAUGUAAACUGGGCGCCCGAGGCCUCACGGUCACAGAUUUCAAAGCCUGUCUCUAGAGGGUGAACACAAGGGAGCCUCCCCUGCACUGGCUUCUAGGGUGCGCAGAUAAAGAGGCUAGUGUAUCGACUGCGCGGCAGCAGAGGGGAAAGCGAAAAGUCCCCUGAAAAUAGGAAACAGAGCGGCAACUGCCUCCUGCCCUUGAAGAACCCUCUGGAAGUGACCUGGGAGUGAUGAAGACGGGCAGCGAGGGGCAUGGAUGCCCUCCCCCUGUGGUCCACGUCCUCCGUCCACUCGGAGUCACCGCAGUUUCAUCCGAGGGAAAGGUGGGGGAGGAGGAAGCACGACAUGAGCCCCGACUCUGAGCAAGGAGACCCCCCGUCGCUCCUUCCUGUUUCCCUGGGGGCUUCCCUCCCUCAGCCCCCACUCAAGUCCGUCUAUCACCCAAACAUGGAUUUGUGUGUUGAACAGAACUGAUUAAACGUGCCCUCCAGGCCCCACGUCUACCAGGGUCCAGCCCUCUGUGAUCCUGACCAACUCCGGGGACCCAGGGACCAGCACGGCAGGUGCACUUUGUACCAAAGGGUUGCCAAUUAUACCACCGACCUCCUGCUCCAGGCGUUUCUCAUUCACUCUUUCUUAGACCUUUGAAGAGAACCAGGCUCUAAGUACUGUUUGCUUUGCUAAUAUUCCCAUAAUGUUCCUUGUUCACUCUGUCUUUAGAAAUGGCAUUUAUCUUCAUCACUCUGGAGCUCUAAGGCUAGUUAUGGAACCGUCUCACGCAAAAGGAACUCACUCGUUUCCGAGUCUGAUUUCAAGGGGAGGCAGUGUUUUAAGGGAAGUCUUCCACGGUGCCUGGGUUAUACAGGGUCUGGUGCUUCGCAAGCUCUCAAUCAAUAUUUGUUGAAUGAACGAGUGAGUAAAUUUCCUCGUAUCUAUUCUAUCUUCUCAUCCUGGAAUAAAGGAGGUACAUACGUGGAGACCGUACUUCCCAUUCUGUAGUUUACCAGCUGGGGCGAAAACAACCUCCUUCUCUUUUUGUUACUAAAACCAUCCAUCUGC